AUGGCAGCACCGCCCCGCUGCAUCCCCAUCCCCAUCCCCAUCCUCAUCCCCCCGCACCCCUCCCCGGGCCGAGCCGAGCCGUGCCCGAGCCCCGGUGCCGGGAAGGCGCUGGGGAGAGGCUGCGGGAGCCGGGCGGGGCCGGCAGGGCGCCCCCACCCCCGCCCCGCCAUGCGGCUGCCGCGCUGCGCUGGCGCAGGGCCGGCGGGGGGAGGAGAUGGGGGAGGAAAGGGGGGGAAGGCGCUGCCCUGCUGGGCUGCACCCCUGCCUGCCUCCGCCCGGCUGCCACAUCCCUGCAAAUCCCUGCCCCAUCACUGCCCCAGCCCUGCUCCAUCCCUGUCUGCCCCAUCCCUAUCUGCCACUUCUCCAGCCCUAUCCAGCCCUGCUCCAUCCUUCUUCCCUGAUCCAGCCCUGCCCCAGCCCUACUCCAUCCCUACCCACUCCUUCUCCAUCCAUCCCUGCUCACCCCUGCUCACGUUUGCUCCAUCCACCCCUGCUCCAUCCCUCUUUGCCCCAUUCCUGCCCCACCCUGGUCCCUCCAUGCCCCAUCCCUGCCCCAUCCUUGUCCCGUCCAUGCCCCCUCUGUGCCCCUCCCUGCCCCCCUCCCUUUUUUCCACCCUCCCUGCGCUCCUCCCCCCCCAGCCCGCCCCCUCCCCUCCUUUUCCUCCCCUCUCCUCCUUCAGCACCGUGGGCAGCUCCCGGCCGCGCCUGCCCUGGCCGCUCACAGCCCGCAGCCUCUCGAGCCGCGGGCGGGGGGCUCUGGGGACCCCCGCAGCCCCUCGAGGCGUCUCCCUCCCGGCAGCCGGCCUCUACCCCCCCGGGAUAAGCCCCCCUCGCUGCAGGCAGCCCCGCGCAGCCACAUCUCCGCCCUGCCGCGCACCCUCCCCGCUCCCGCAGCCUCCCCUCCGAAAGGUUGUCUCGCCCCAAAAGAGACAAGCCCCAAAGGACAGCUGUCCGCGGGGGCAGGGUGUCCCCAGGAAGGCAAAUCACCCCCCCCAGGGUUGCCUCCCUCCCGGUACGGACCAACGAGCCAAAGCUGCCCCAGCGGGGAGCCGUGGCAGCACCUCCUGCGCUGCGCCCCACGCGCGGUGA
This 1089-nucleotide long non-coding RNA is filed under the name Anas platyrhynchos platyrhynchos (common mallard). Its description in RNAcentral is "lncRNA (ENSAPLG00000017209.1)". The record is from RNAcentral. Lineage: Eukaryota; Metazoa; Chordata; Aves; Anseriformes; Anatidae.